Ziziphus jujuba (common jujube) is the source of this 761-nucleotide long non-coding RNA. RefSeq lists it as uncharacterized. The record is from RefSeq and is a predicted model, not a curated record. NCBI's taxonomy places the organism in Eukaryota, Viridiplantae, Streptophyta, Magnoliopsida, Rosales, Rhamnaceae. The transcript has 3 exons.
ACCACCAUUUCUUUUUCUUUUUCUUUUUCUUUUUUUUCUUUUUUCCCUUCUUCUUCCCCGAAACACACACGACACACACAGUUAUUUUUCUUCCCUCCGGCCGUCCCUCUCUCUCUCCCGUGUUUUUGAAUUCCGGCCACCCAUAGCCCUUACGCGCCAGCCACCAAGGAAGCCCGCCACCUCGCGAGCUUGGCCGCCAAGUUUCACGGCUAGCCGCCGCCGGACGCGCGCCGAUCGGGCCGGAGAAGCCGCCGGCCGGCCAAGUUUCUCUCUCCUCUUUUCUUGUGUUUUCCGGCCAGCCCACUCCCAAUUGAGCCUCCUAUCCCCCUAUUUUGGGUCCUCUGAAUCCAAAAAUGGCCUCCAAUCCCAGAAAUUCGAAGCGGUUUGCGAGAUAUGGGGAAGUGAACACCGGCCGAACCUUUCCGACCAAAUUCCGGCCACCUCCGGCGGAAUUGGGGUCGACGGAGACCGGAUUGGUGAUCCUCGUUCCACGAGCUUCGAUUCGGAGCACCGGUGAGUCGUAGAAUUGAUCCCGUGGUGGAUCAUGGGUUAAUUACGUGCUCCAGGUCCAGGUUGGAGACGUUGAUUGUCCGGGGCGAGCCCAACGUCUCAGUUCGUUGCCGAAGGUUCAAGCAGUUUUUCUUCCCUUUUUCCUCUCGACCUUGUAUUGCUUCUUUAUCUGUCGUUUUAUAAAUUCCUCAUGUAUCUGUAUAAUGCUCUGUAUACUGUAUUGGACGUGUGGUUGUUCUUUAUGCACUGGG